Molecule: ribosomal RNA, 294 nt
Filed under: uncultured bacterium
Lineage: Bacteria
Description: partial 16S ribosomal RNA
Rfam family: Bacterial small subunit ribosomal RNA
Source: RNAcentral
GGAAUUCGAUUCCUACGGGAGGCAGCAGUGGGGAAUAUUGCACAAUGGGCGCAAGCCUGAUGCAGCAACGCCGCGUGGGGGAUGAAGGCCUUCGGGUUGUAAACCCCUUUUAGUAGGGAAGAAGCGAAAGUGACGGUACCUACAGAAAAAGCGCCGGCUAACUACGUGCCAGCAGCCGCGGUAAUACGUAGGGCGCAAGCGUUGUCCGGAAUUAUUGGGCGUAAAGAGCUCGUAGGCGGUUUGUCGCGUCUGCUGUGAAAUCCCGAGGCUCAACCUCGGGUCUGCAGUGGGUAC